AACGAACGCUGGCGGCGUGGAUAAGACAUGCAAGUCGAACGGCCCCGACAUUUUAGCAAUAAAAUGUCGGGUAGUGGCGAAAGGGUGCGUAACACGUGGCUACCUACCUCGAAGUUGGGGAUAGCUCGGCGAAAGCCGGAUUAAUACCGAAUGUGAUCGUGAGAUCAAAGCUGGGGAUCGUAAGACCUGGCGCUUUGAGAUGGGGCUGCGGCCUAUCAGGUAGUUGGCGGGGUAAUGGCCCACCAAGCCUAAGACGGGUAGCUGGUCUGAGAGGACGACCAGCCACACUGGAACUGAGACACGGCCCAGACUCCUACGGGAGGCAGCAGUGGGGAAUAUUGGACAAUGGGGGCAACCCUGAUCCAGCGACGCCGCGUGUGUGAAGAAGGCCUGCGGGUUGUAAAGCACUUUUAGNGGGGAUGAAAAGCUCGGGGUUAAUACCUCCGGGUCUUCGACCUAACCCAAAGAAAAGACACCGGCUAACUCUGUGCCAGCCGCCG
RNAcentral lists this ribosomal RNA (500 nucleotides) under uncultured bacterium. RNAcentral describes it as "bacterial SSU rRNA". It matches the Rfam family "Bacterial small subunit ribosomal RNA", at positions 29 to 517 of the family's 1533-position model. The record is from RNAcentral.